CUUGGGAGCUAGAAGACUGGCAUAUUUGGCAAAGAAUUGGUUGCUUGAAGGGACACAGAAAGAACAUGAGAAAUUGAUGAAAUUCACUUCUGAAGAAAUAAAACCUCUAAGAUAAAAGAGUUGAUGCAUUCUGUUAUAAGGCCUGGGUAGUAAAGUGUCUUUCAGAAUAUGUAAAACUAAAAAGAGGGCAAUACUUAUACUGAAAAUGAAGUCACCACAAUGUAGAAGGAAGUUCUCUGUAUCGAUUCCUGCUCCUGUUAUUUCAAAGCUGUAGUACCACACUAUGUGGUGUGCUGGACUACUCUUUUCAUAUGUAUGGAAUAUUCUGCCUAUAAAAUUGCCCUGUCUUUGAUAUAGAGCAGCUUCAAAGUGAUAAAUGUUUAUUGGAGAAGAGGCCACAAAUGUUUGGAACUGGGACAUCCAUUUCUUAAAGCAGAUCCUAGUAGGCCUAAGACGCGUACAGAUUGCUCAAACUUUCCUGAGUAGCAGAGCCCUGUUUGGUGAGUGAGCUUGGACCAAAGUAUACCUGUGAUGACUGAGGGAUCACUUUCCUUGUUCAGCUGUUUGUCCUGAAUCAUGAAACCAGGAGGUACAGAAUGGACAGGGUGUCUUCCUCAGGAGUGGUCUCUUGAUAUCGUCUGAUCUCUUUCUCCCCAAACUGGAUUCAGCCUCUCUCCCUAUGCUCCACUAUCUCCUGUGACCACUUACAGUGCUUGAUCCUGGCAUAAGUAUAUGAUUUACUCAGAUGCUGAAACUCUUUCAGUGGACCAUGGUACUGAAAACUGAAACUGACCUUAGGGAGCUAAAGAGAGUGUUCAUCUGUGCAAAUGUGCCUGGAAUCAUUGAAGACAUUUGUGGCAAGCCAGCUCUUUCCCCAUCUUUUCCUUAUUGUUCAAGGAAAAUGUCACAUGCAAAGAAACCACACCAUAUGGGAAAAAGAUCUGCUGCAAAUUCAGGCAUCAUAUUGCAGUAUGGUGCCAUCAUUUGAAGGGAGCCCAGAACUCCAUCACAUAGCAGCUGGCCUAUAAGAACCAGGAGCUACUCCAACAUGCCCAGAUGUUAAACCAGUGGCAUAGAAGGUGGAGAUCAUUUUUAAAAAUGAGUUCACAUCUUAAUCAUCUACAUUUAGACUACCACAAUUAUUGGGCCAACUGUUCAUCCUGGCAACCAGAGUGUGCCAUCCCCCCUCCAACCUCAAUCACUUGGCCACUUAACACUAACUAAACUUCAUAAAGUUAAUCUAACAACAACACUACAAUAUAUGGACACUCAGGACCAUGUAUCUGCCAUCUGAGUAGGAGAAAUGUCAACUGCUCUAUUCUAUCUUCAAACUUUAACCUGUUCUCCUGGAAAGACAUGAUAGAUAAUAUGGUGAUUGUGCCAUAAUGGCCUAGCAGAUCACCUAGGAAUUUUAAGUUAUUACACUAUUUUCCUAAAGAUUCUGAUUGACCUCAUCAAAUAAUAUCAGCUAUUUUAAUUUGUUCAAUAUGGUGAAUCUCUUGCCCAAAGAAAUGACCCCUUAUGGAAAUCCCAAGAUUAUCAUGAUCAUUAUCAGUGAAUUUCAAUCAGAUAUGCCAUUAUCCCAAGGAUAUGACUUUAUCCUGUGAUAUUGGACAUUAUCAGAAAAAUGGUUUGCCUUUUUCCCAGAACUAGUCAUCCUCCUGUAUUCAGCACCACACUUUUUUGAGAUCUUCAAGCUAUAUGGUUUCUUGUAUUGUUUAAUAUUGGAUCAGAGACUUUCAGUUUAUGUAACUUCUUUUUUUGAUUCAAUCUGUCCAAUGCUCUCCAAGUUAAUGCUUAUAUCUCCACUACCAAUAAUCUUUAAUCCGAUAGCAAAUUAUAAAAUUCCAACCAG
Molecule: non-coding RNA, 1855 nt
Organism: Phascolarctos cinereus (koala)
Lineage: Eukaryota; Metazoa; Chordata; Mammalia; Diprotodontia; Phascolarctidae
Source: RefSeq, a predicted model, not a curated record